RNAcentral lists this ribosomal RNA (303 nucleotides) under uncultured bacterium. RNAcentral's name for it is "partial 16S ribosomal RNA". It matches the Rfam family "Bacterial small subunit ribosomal RNA", at positions 507 to 807 of the family's 1533-position model. The record is from RNAcentral.
AGCAGCAGCCGCGGGAAAACGGAGGGUGCAAGCGUUAAUCGGAAUUACUGGGCGUAAAGCGCACGCAGGCGGUCUGACAAGUCAGAUGUGAAAUCCCCGGGCUUAACCUGGGAACUGCAUUUGAAACUGUCAGGCUGGAGUCUUGUAGAGGGGGGUGGAAUUCCAGGUGUAGCGGUGAAAUGCGUAGAGAUCUGGAGGAAUACCGGUGGCGAAGGCGGCCCCCUGGACAAAGACUGACGCUCAGGUGCGAAAGCGUGGGGAGCAAACAGGAUUAGAUACCCCUGUAGUCCCUGUCUCUUAUAC